AGGGGUAUAAUGUAAUGGUAACAUACCGGUCUCCAAAACCGUUUUUGAGGGUUCGAGUCCUUCUACCCCUGCCA
This 74-nucleotide transfer RNA is filed under the name Clostridia bacterium. RNAcentral describes it as "tRNA-Trp". It matches the Rfam family "tRNA". Rfam says of the family: Transfer RNA (tRNA) molecules are approximately 80 nucleotides in length. Their secondary structure includes four short double-helical elements and three loops (D, anti-codon, and T loops). Lineage: Bacteria; Bacillati; Bacillota; Clostridia. The record is from RNAcentral.